This 396-nucleotide ribosomal RNA is filed under the name uncultured Strobilidiidae. Its description in RNAcentral is "partial small subunit ribosomal RNA". It matches the Rfam family "Eukaryotic small subunit ribosomal RNA", at positions 30 to 432 of the family's 1831-position model. Lineage: Eukaryota; Ciliophora; Spirotrichea; Choreotrichida; Strobilidiidae. The record is from RNAcentral.
GCUUGUCUCAAAGAUUAAGCCAUGCAUGUCUAAGUAUAAAUGGUAUACAGUAAAACUGCGAAUGGCUCAUUAAAACAGUUAUAGUUUAUUUGGUAAUCGAAUUUACAUGGAUAACCGUGGUAAUUCUAGAGCUAAUACAUGCUGUAAAGCCCGACUUCUCGGAAGGGCCGUAUUUAUUAGAUAACAGACCAGCAGCUUCGGCUAUUGUGGUGAAUCAUAGUAACUGUUCGAAUCGCAUGGCUUCACGCCGGCGAUAGUUCAUUCAAAUUUCUGCCCUAUCAGCUUUCGACGGUAGUGUAGUGGACUACCGUGGCGUUAACGGGUAACGGAGAAUUAGGGUUCGGUUCCGGAGAGGGAGCCUGAGAAACGGCUACCACAUCCAAGGAAGGCAGCAGG